AAAUUUUAAAAAACAACUUUUUGGGGGGCAAUUAUUAAACAGGAAAUAUUUUAAACUAUGUGCAAAAAGACCUUAUCAGUGAUCAUCAUAGGUGAAUAAAUGUAUGGGAGUUACUCUGAACAUAAAAAACACUCUGCAAGUGCUAUAAUUUGCCAUGUUAUCAUUAAAACAUUUUUUUUUUUUUUAAUUUAGAUGAAAAUGAAAAAGAAUCCAGGAACAUUAAGAAAGCACCUGAGAAGGAACUUUGUGCUCGAAAGUCACAAUAAUAAUGAGCUGCUGACAGAAAUAUCAUAUGACAAUAACGAAAUUAGCAAUGAACAAAGUGAAAAUGAAGAUGGAAAAUUUAGCACACCAAUAGAAUUACUAGGAGAGCUCCUGAAAGCAAUUUUGAAUGGAAACUACAGUCUCUCAAAAAACCUUUGUCAGAUGAGUAAAUAUUACCUCGAGGGUGAUUACAUUGCAGCUGAGGUAAUCAGACUGACUUCUCUCCAUAGACGUUAC
Long non-coding RNA from Struthio camelus australis, 501 nucleotides. NCBI's taxonomy places the organism in Eukaryota, Metazoa, Chordata, Aves, Struthioniformes, Struthionidae. The record is from Ensembl.